RNAcentral lists this ribosomal RNA (405 nucleotides) under uncultured bacterium. RNAcentral describes it as "bacterial SSU rRNA". It matches the Rfam family "Bacterial small subunit ribosomal RNA", at positions 370 to 772 of the family's 1533-position model. The record is from RNAcentral.
AAUGGGCGAGAGCCUGAACCAGCCAAGUCGCGUGAAGGAAGAAGGAUCUAUGGUUCGUAAACUUCUUUUUUAGGGGAAUAAAGUGCGGUACGUGUACCGUUUUGUAUGUACCCUACGAAUAAGGAUCGGCUAACUCCGUGCCAGCAGCCGCGGUAAUACGGAGGAUCCAAGCGUUAUCCGGAUUUAUUGGGUUUAAAGGGUGCGUAGGCGGACGUUUAAGUCAGUGGUGAAAGUUUGCAGCUCAACUGUAAAAUUGCCAUUGAAACUGAAUGUCUUGAGUGUAAAUGAGGUAGGCGGAAUGUGUUGUGUAGCGGUGAAAUGCUUAGAUAUGACACAGAACACCGAUUGCGAAGGCAGCUUACUAAGAUACAACUGACGCUGAGGCACGAAAGCGUGGGGAUCGAA